GUACAGGAUAGCCUAGAGGACAUGGCACCUGCCCGGUAAGCAGAAGGUUGUGGGUUCGAUUCCCGCUCCUGGACA
Molecule: transfer RNA, 75 nt
Filed under: Cordylochernes scorpioides
Lineage: Eukaryota; Metazoa; Arthropoda; Arachnida; Pseudoscorpiones; Chernetidae
Description: tRNA-Thr
Rfam family: tRNA
About the family: Transfer RNA (tRNA) molecules are approximately 80 nucleotides in length.
Source: RNAcentral